This 73-nucleotide transfer RNA is filed under the name Ovis aries (sheep). It matches the Rfam family "tRNA". From Rfam's summary of the family: Transfer RNA (tRNA) molecules are approximately 80 nucleotides in length. Their secondary structure includes four short double-helical elements and three loops (D, anti-codon, and T loops). Lineage: Eukaryota; Metazoa; Chordata; Mammalia; Artiodactyla; Bovidae. The record is from Rfam by way of RNAcentral.
UCCCUGGUGGCUCAGACGGUAAAGCGUCUGCCUGCAGUGCAGGAGACCCGGGUUCGAUCCCUGGGCUGGAGGA